GCGGGAAUAGCUCAGUUGGUAGAGCAUCAGCUUCCCAAGCUGAGGGUCGCCGGUUCGACUCCGGUUUCCCGCUCCA
Molecule: transfer RNA, 76 nt
Filed under: Deltaproteobacteria bacterium
Lineage: Bacteria; Pseudomonadati; Myxococcota; Myxococcia
Also listed under: 1 other name
Description: tRNA-Gly
Rfam family: tRNA
About the family: Transfer RNA (tRNA) molecules are approximately 80 nucleotides in length. Their secondary structure includes four short double-helical elements and three loops (D, anti-codon, and T loops).
Source: RNAcentral